Molecule: ribosomal RNA, 485 nt
Filed under: uncultured bacterium
Lineage: Bacteria
Description: partial 16S ribosomal RNA
Rfam family: Bacterial small subunit ribosomal RNA
Source: RNAcentral
AGUGAACGCUGGCGGCGUGCUUAACACAUGCAAGUCGAACGAGAACGGGCUAUAGCUUGCUAUAGUUGUCAGCUAAGUGGCGCACGGGUGAGUAAUGUAUAGGUAAUAUGCCUCUUACUAAGGGAUAACAAAUGGAAACGUUUGCUAAUACCUUAUACUCCUUAUUAACAGAAGUUAAUAAGGGAAAGAUUUAUUGGUAAGAGAUUAGCCUGUAUUGUAAUCAGUUAGUUGGUGGGGUAAUGGCUUACCAAGACUAUGACACAUAACUGGUUUGAGAGGAUGAUCAGUCACACUGGAACUGAGACACGGUCCAGACUCCUACGGGAGGCAGCAGUGGGGAAUAUUGCACAAUGGACGAAAGUCUGAUGCAGCAACGCCGCGUGGAGGAUGACACAUUUCGGUGCGUAAACUCCUUUUAUAUGAGAAGAUAAUGACGGUAUUAUAUGAAUAAGCACCGGCUAACUCCGCGCCAGCAGCCGCCGUAA